This 1026-nucleotide long non-coding RNA is filed under the name Androctonus crassicauda. Lineage: Eukaryota; Metazoa; Arthropoda; Arachnida; Scorpiones; Buthidae. The record is from RNAcentral.
AGUCAAAAUAUUUUUUUAAUAUAUAAGUAUAUAUAUUUACAUAUGUAGUAUGUAAUAAUAUAAUAUUUUAUAGCAUUUUUAUUAAUUAUACAGCGUUAUUUUCAUGAAAUUGAAUAAUAGGAACCACUUGAGAGUGCAGCUUCAGAUAAAUGUGAGACCAAGUUCUUAUCAGUUGUAAGUGUAUUUAGUUCAGGUUCUGGGUGAUUGCUUUAAUCCUCUCGUAUUCUCGGAUUAGUAUGGGACCACUGCUCACCACUCAGUGGUUUAAUUGUCCCAAACACUUGAUCUAACUAUUUUUUUUAUGUAAGAACAAUUCUAAUUGAAUAUGUAUUGAACUAGAUUCAUUUCGAUGCUAAUUCUGAAAAUUCCCUGUUAAAUGAGAGAACACAAAAAUCUGUAUAGGAAAAAUAAGUUCGAAUUAGAAUCAUUUGAAAUAACGUUUAGUUCCGAUGAAUUUUACAUCAGAAGCUUUUCCGACAGAAAGGAAUAUUUUAUUUAUUUAUGCAAUUUUGGCCGGCGCCACAUUAGGCAGAAUUUCUGUCACCGAAAAUCGUCAGCUGAAUCCGUCUAUAACGAAAUGGACUUUUUCUGCUCGACUGAAAAAUGCAAUGUAACAUAUCAAACGUGAAACUCGUUACAAACGGAAUCCAACCAGCGUUUUUUUUUUUUUUUUUUCGGUAACAGAAAUUCCAAAUGGAUUUCUGACCUUAUGAAAAUUUCUGUUGCUAUCCGCUUGGAUUAUGUUCAACAUACUGGACAACUAACUCUACUGAUUUAAUUUAUUGGCACUGUAACUGUAUUCGGCGUUUAAUCAGCCGAGAAAAUUUUGUCUUAAUUCUGAGUAGUGAUAGGAGCUAGCCUUACUCAGAAAUGUGUUAAACAUACAGAUUAUUUAUUUCUGUUCAACAAUUGAUAGCGAUCUGAUAUAGUAUAGUAUAGUACAUUGAACUUUCUACAUUUCAAUGAAAAUGUCAACUACAAAUCAACGAUCAAGUAUAAGCUAUUUAGCAAUUAAAUAAGACGUUC